Molecule: long non-coding RNA, 3101 nt
Organism: Rhinolophus ferrumequinum (greater horseshoe bat)
Lineage: Eukaryota; Metazoa; Chordata; Mammalia; Chiroptera; Rhinolophidae
Exons: 6
Source: RefSeq, a predicted model, not a curated record
CGCCCCUCUCGGAAGCACGUGCGCCUAACGUCAUUUCCUGUUAUUCUCUUCGCUCCCUUCUGAUCCGCCGUGGGUUCGUUCGUGACCGGCCUUUGGGGCGUGCCCUUUUUCCUCUCUGUCAGCUGAGGCCCAGAGAGGUGAUGCCUCUUGUUGAAUUACGUCUGCAAAGCAACAGCAGCUGGAUCUCAAAUCCCCACUCUUCCCAAAUCACGAUGCCUUCAGCAAAGGAGAGCCAGAAAGGGGAGAAUUACUCUGGGGAGAUGAAUACUGGCUGUGGCUGAGGGAAUAAGAGCCAAAGAGGAGUUGAAGGAGUAGGAGGCACAGGCCAUGCUGUCCACCACUUCCUGCUGGUGGGCCCUCGGGCAAGUCAUUGCACUCUGAGCCUCAGUUUCGCUAUUUGCAAGAUGGAAAUUACCCCUCUGCCAACUUAGAAGAACUGCUUGGUGAGGUGGUACAUAGGAUGCUGCCUUGGGAAGUUUAAAGUGCGGGGCACCAGGAACCCUUUAAGCCCAAGGAACCCCUCCAGGAAAGGGCAGCACCGUCUCUCAGUGGACACCCAGACCCAGGAGCCACCUCAGAGAAUCGUCUUAGCCCAGAGGUACUCCUUACCGCAGACCAGGACUCCAAACCAAAUGUAUCCUGUGCUGACCCAGGACACCCACCAUGGACUCAUCUGCCAGACACCAGGAAACUGCUCAUUUCUCAGCGAUGAAACCUGAGAUCCAUUCACCUUGUCCUGUCGAAAAGGAAAGGAGUGGAGCCCUGCCCAGCAUGGUAGGGAGUGCUGGAGAAGUCCUGCUCCUUUCAUUUGGCUCAGAGCAAGCCGGAGCCAGCCUGGAGGAAGUGUCCACGGAGGGAGGACUUGUCGGGAACAGGAAGCUUACUACUCUCAUCGUGGCUUCUUCCUGCUUGUUUGAAGCUUUUCCUUAUAUUAAACUGCAACCUCCCCACCAUGACUUCCUCUGAUUGGUCUCAGAACCUCACCAAACAGGUCUGUCUUCUUCCCCACCCUGCAGGUCUGAAGAGCUUUAGCUCUUCAGGUGAAGCAUCCAAUGCCAUGGUCUUGUCCUCUAGUCAAUACCCAGCGUCCAUGAUGUCCUUCCGUGGCAGGAAGCCCCCUAUUGAUUCAUCGAUCCGUGCACAUGCCCAGACCUUCCAGUGAAGUAUCCGUGAACAGAUGGCCACAUGUGGGGGCAGUGAGACCCAGACCCUUGAGGACAGACUAUGCUGGUGACACUUGGAAAGGUUUUGCAGCUUCAAUAGGUCGGUGGGGAUGUGAGAGAAGAUGAGUCAGCCCUGAUUGGAGGACCUGGUCUGCGGCCCUCUCAGAAAGAGCCUGUGUGCCUUAGAUCAGCACCUCUCACACUAAGGAGUGUGGGUGUGUGCUAAUCUCCGGGGGGUGAGGGGUCCUGUGAAACUGUGGAUUCAGAUUCAGCACGUCUAGGGCAGGGCCUGAGAGUCUGCAUUUCUUAUCAGUUCCCAGUUAUGUGCUGAUACUUCAGACCACAUUCGGAAUAGCAAAGCCCUAGGACAGUGGUAGCACAGUCCCUUGGGGUGCUUUACAAAUAUGGGCAGUUUGCCUCACCCAAACCUGCGGAUUCGGAGUCUUCUGGAGACUUGCUCAUUGGUCUAUCCCUCCCUCCCUCCCUCCCUCCCUCCCUCCUUCCCUCUAUCCUUCUCUCCCUCUCCUCCUCUCCCUCUCUGCUUUGGUUUGGAAAGCUCCCACGACGGCUGAUGGAUAGUCCAGUUUGACGUGGGAGCAGAGGCAGUGGUUCCCAGCCCUGGCUGCACACCAGUCACCUGGGAGUUUUAUAAAAUGUUGUGUCAGGGUGCCUCCCUGCAGACCAAUUGAAUCCAUUUCUGGGGAUUGGGGCCAGGAGAUUAGCAUUUCACAAAGCUCCCCCGGAUGAUUCUAAGGUACAGCCCCUUGUGUAGAGCCUGAGGUAAGAAUCAUCUGGAAUUCUUGAUGGAUAUACAGGUUACUAUGCUCUGCUCCGCCCUGAGCUUCAGAUUCAAGGUCUGGGGCGAGGUCCAGGACCGUGUAUGUGUAACAAGUACCACAGAUGAUUCUUAUGAGAUGGCAAGAUUGGGAAACACUGAGGUUGAGGAAAGGCCCCGGGAUUGGAGUUGGAAAGACAGUGCUCCUGGCUGUGUGAGUCCUCUCAGCUUACUGAGCCUCUGAGAUUUGUUUCUUCAUCUGUAAAACGGAGAUGAUGACUGCGGGAGGCAGAGAUGGGCAACCAUCCCCCAGAAACCUAUGUGCCCAGGAGUCCGCAGGACAGCGUUGUUGGAAAGUGGCUGCCACAGGCCAGGGACUCCAUUGCCCAGCUCCACUUUGCCAUUAGGUGGGGCGACUACAGGACUGCGUUGUGGCCAGUGGACCGUGGGCAGAAUUAGGAGUUCUCAGUGUCCUCAGCUCUCUCUUCACUCUCUGCCCAUUGGAUAUCAAUGUGUGGGUGAUCUGGGAAGACACAUGGGAAAGUUGACAGAACUCUCUGCUCCUCCGACUGCUAAUUGGACUUUAUGUGACUGAAAAAUAAGCUUCUGUGUAAAGCUGCUGCGAUUGGGCAGUUUAUCUGGUACAGUAGCUAGUGCUAUGUUAACUAACAUACUGCUUCCAUGAUGGUGGCAAAAAUUAAAUUAUUACAGCAGAGGCUGCAAACUGACAAUAUGAGCGCUCAGAUCCAACCAACAAACCCACAGAUAUGUUUUGUUACACCUGCACCAGUGUUCUAUUUUUUUUCCAGCAGAUUUUAAAAUGAGCAAUUUCACAACAAACGUCUUGUUGGUGCAUUCUUUACGGUGGCCAAGACAUGGAAACAACCAAAGUGUCCUUCAAUAGAUGACUGGAUAAAGAAGAUGUGGUACAUAUACACAAUGGAAUACUACUCGACCAUAAGAAAUGAUGAAAUAUUGCCAUUUGCGACUACAUGGAUGGAUCUUGAGAUUAUCCUACUAGGCAAAAUAAGUCAAGCAGAAAACAUCAAGAACCACAUGACUUCACUCAUAUGUGGGAUAUAAAAUGGAAAACAACAAAGAAUCAAGACAAACAAAAUCUCAUCGAUACAGAAAACAGUAUAGUGGUUACCAGAGGGUAAGGG